UUUGAAACAACCAAAGAAAAAAUAUGGUUUUUUUUUCUUCUUCUUUUUUUUCUUAAAGAAAUCCCCUUUCUUUCACUUGGGAAAGAGACAAAAAAUGCAAAUAGUCGAAGGAAGAAGAGAAAUUUUGAUCCACGGUCAUUGAUUUUCAGGCGAGAAUGGAAGAGGAAUUGGCUAUUCCUUCUUGGUUUCGCCAUAUCCGACUCCUUAAUUACUAACAUCACUGCUGGAUUUUCUGAGGUGAAGAAUUCUCCCUUUAAUUGGGAGGGGGGGGAUUAGUGGAAUUGGAAAAUGUGAUGUUUUUCAUUUGUGCAAAAUAACAGAUGUUGCCAUUAGUUUACCAACCGAUAUUUGAAUCAUUUAUUGGUACUUCUCACUAUAUAAAGACUUAGGUGGAUUUUUUGUGAUGUUGUUUACUUCUUAUGUAUUAUCUGUUGCGUUUUCGUGACUGAUACACAUUCUUGUGGUUUUGCACCAACGUUAUCUUCAGUUUAUGUUUGUUCUACUGAGUAUUAGCUUGCAAUUGGUCAUGGUGACAAUCGAGCACUUGCAGCAUUUUAUUUUUUGAUUUUCAAGAAAUUUCCGUUCUUUCAAUUUUGCUAUGAGGUUUUUGUCCUUCACUAAGUGUUGGCUUGUAAUUUGAUGAUUUGGAAGAAAACAAACUUAGCACUUAAUUAGUUGCUUUUCAUUUAUUGAAAUAUAUGUUUAUGGGUGAUUUUGAAGGUGAUAACAUCUUUAGACUGUUGACCUUUCCAGUGAAGUAAAUUAGGGUCAUGUGGUGAUUGCGAAUUGUAAGAAAAAU
RNAcentral lists this long non-coding RNA (799 nucleotides) under Cucumis sativus (cucumber). RNAcentral describes it as "long non-coding RNA (CSAT_LNC002766)". The record is from RNAcentral. Lineage: Eukaryota; Viridiplantae; Streptophyta; Magnoliopsida; Cucurbitales; Cucurbitaceae.